GGUCCUGUGGUGUAGUGGUUCACGUCUGCUUCACACGCGGAAGGUCGCAGGUUCAAUCCCGGCCAGGACCU
This is a non-coding RNA of Parelaphostrongylus tenuis, 71 nucleotides long. Lineage: Eukaryota; Metazoa; Nematoda; Chromadorea; Rhabditida; Metastrongylidae. The record is from the annotation of a GenBank genome assembly.